GGGCCCGUAGUCGAAUGGUUAAGACGUCCGCUUGACAUGCGGGAGACUCGGAGUUCGAUUCUCCGCGGGCCCA
Molecule: transfer RNA, 73 nt
Filed under: Candidatus Micrarchaeota archaeon CG1_02_51_15
Lineage: Archaea; Nanobdellati; Microcaldota
Also listed under: 3 other names
Description: tRNA-Val
Rfam family: tRNA
About the family: Transfer RNA (tRNA) molecules are approximately 80 nucleotides in length. Their secondary structure includes four short double-helical elements and three loops (D, anti-codon, and T loops).
Source: RNAcentral